AAUAUUGCAUAAUGGGCGAGAGCCUGAUGCAGCGACGCCGCGUGAGUGAUGAAGGCCUACGGGUCGUACAGCUCUUUGAUCAGGGAUGAUAAUGACAGUACCUGAAAAACAAGCCAGUGCUAACUACGUGCCAGCAGCCGCGGUAAUAAGUAGGUGGCGAGCGUUGUCCGAAAUUACUGGGCGUAAGGGAUGCGUAGGUGGAUUUUUAAGUGGGGUGUGAAAUACCCGGGCUCAACCCGGGAACUGAAUUCCAAACUAGCUAUCUAGAGUGCAGGAGAGGAAAGCGGAAUUACUAGUGUAGCGGUGAAAUGAAUAGAUAUUAGGAGGAACACCAGUGGCGAAGGCGGCUUUCUGGACUGUAAAUGACACUGAGGCAUGAAAGCGUGGGUAGCAAACAGG
This 399-nucleotide ribosomal RNA is filed under the name uncultured bacterium. Its description in RNAcentral is "partial 16S ribosomal RNA". It matches the Rfam family "Bacterial small subunit ribosomal RNA", at positions 360 to 776 of the family's 1533-position model. The record is from RNAcentral.